RNAcentral lists this ribosomal RNA (903 nucleotides) under Mycoplasma sp. ST 102-2. RNAcentral's name for it is "bacterial SSU rRNA". It matches the Rfam family "Bacterial small subunit ribosomal RNA", at positions 104 to 1006 of the family's 1533-position model. Lineage: Bacteria; Bacillati; Mycoplasmatota; Mollicutes; Mycoplasmatales; Mycoplasmataceae. The record is from RNAcentral.
GGGUGAGAACACGUGCUAAUUACCCUUCAGAGUGGAAUACCAAUGGAGAAAUUGGCUAAGGCCGGAGACGCAUGGAAUCGCAUGAGUCCGUUGUGAAAGGGGCCUCAAAGCCCCACUGAAGGAUGAGGGUGCGGAACAUUAGUUAGUUGGUAGGGUAAUGGCCUACCAAGACUAUGAUGUUUAGCCGGGUCGAGAGACUGAACGGCCACAUUGGGACUGAGAUACGGCCCAAACUCCUACGGGAGGCAGCAGUAGGGAAUAUUCCACAAUGAGCGAAAGCUUGAUGGAGCGACACAGCGUGCACGAUGAAGGUCUUCGGAUUGUAAAGUGCUGUUAUAAGGGAAGAACACUCAGAGGAGGAAAUGCCUUUGAGCUGACGGUACCUUGUCAGAAAGCGAUGGCUAACUAUGUGCCAGCAGCCGCGGUAAUACAUAGGUCGCAAGCGUUAUCCGGAAUUAUUGGGCGUAAAGCGUUCGUAGGCUGUUUAUUAAGUCUGGAGUCAAAUCCCGGGGCUCAACCCCGGCUCGCUUUGGAUACUGAUAAACUAGAGUUGGAUAGAGGUAAGCGGAAUUCCAUGUGAAGCGGUGAAAUGCGUAGAUAUAUGGAAGAACACCAAAGGCGAAGGCAGCUUACUGGGUCUAUACUGACGCUGAGGGACGAAAGCGUGGGGAGCAAACAGGAUUAGAUACCCUGGUAGUCCACGCCGUAAACGAUGAUCAUUAGUCGGUGGAGAGUUCACUGACGCAGCUAACGCAUUAAAUGAUCCGCCUGAGUAGUAUGCUCGCAAGAGUGAAACUUAAAGGAAUUGACCGGGACCCGCACAAGCGGUGGAGCAUGUGGUUUAAUUUGAAGAUACACGGAGAACCUUACCCACUCUUGACAUCUUCCGCAAAGCUAUAGAGA